UAGGGGGGAGCUACACAUGCAGUCGAGCGAGAACUUCGGUUCUAGCGGCGGACGGGUUAGUAACGCGUGGGAACGUGCCCUUCACUACGGAAUAGUCCCGGGAAACUGGGUUUAAUACCGUAUACGCCCUUCGGGGGAAAGAAUUUCGGUGAAGGAUCGGCCCGCGUUAGAUUAGAUAGUUGGUGGGGUAACGGCCUACCAAGUCUACGAUCUAUAGCUGGUUUUAGAGGAUGAUCAGCAACACUGGGACUGAGACACGGCCCAGACUCCUACGGGAGGCAGCAGUGGGGAAUCUUAGACAAUGGGCGCAAGCCUGAUCUAGCCAUGCCGCGUGAGUGAUGAAGGCCUUAGGGUCGUAAAGCUCUUUCGCCAGGGAUGAUAAUGACAGUACCUGGUAAAGAAACCCCGGCUAACUCCGUGCCAGCAGCCGCGGUAAUACGGAGGGGGUUAGCGUUGUUCGGAAUUACUGGGCGUAAAGCGCGCGUAGGCGGAUUGGAAAGUUGGGGGUGAAAUCCCAGGGCUCAACCCUGGAACUGCCUCCAAAACUAUCAGUCUAGAGUUCGAGAGAGGUGAGUGGAACUCCGAGUGUAGAGGUGAAAUUCGUAGAUAUUCGGAAGAACACCAGUGGCGAAGGCGGCUCACUGGCUCGAUACUGACGCUGAGGUGCGAAAGUGUGGGGAGCAAACAGGAUUAGAUACCCUGGUAGUCCA
This 710-nucleotide ribosomal RNA is filed under the name Roseovarius sp. RNAcentral describes it as "bacterial SSU rRNA". It matches the Rfam family "Bacterial small subunit ribosomal RNA", at positions 37 to 797 of the family's 1533-position model. Lineage: Bacteria; Pseudomonadati; Pseudomonadota; Alphaproteobacteria; Rhodobacterales; Roseobacteraceae. The record is from RNAcentral.